Molecule: long non-coding RNA, 1228 nt
Filed under: Cavia porcellus (domestic guinea pig)
Lineage: Eukaryota; Metazoa; Chordata; Mammalia; Rodentia; Caviidae
Description: lncRNA (ENSCPOG00000038679.1)
Source: RNAcentral
GUGGUUUGUUACAUUGGUCAUAUUACCUAACCCUCCUAAGCAUGUUUUCUCAUCUGUAAGCUAGGAAAAAAUUAAUAAUAGUAUCUACCUCACUGAGUAGUUGGAAGGAUUAAAUAAGAAAGUACACACUACCUGGCAUAUCAUCAUUCUAUAAAUAUUUGUUGCUAUUAUCCCUCCUUACUUCAUUCCUUCCUGUAUCCCUUUCCUUCCUCUCUUCCUUCCUGUCUAACCUUUCUCCUUUGCUUCCUUCCUUUCACUACCUAGUAGGGAUGCUAAGUCACUUAAAAAUCCAUGUCCUCAAGGAGCUCAUGGCCUAAUUGAGUUGGUAAAAGAACAGAAGGUAACUCAAAGUAACAGCCAACAUAUACCAACGGUAUACAGUCAGAGAAUAAAGAGCAUGCAGAUGCUGUGGAAGCCAAAAUAAGGAAUAUGUGUGCACUGGGCCAAAAGAGAUGUUGAGUCCAUUGGGCACAGCCUGCUUAUCCUGCCUUCACUGGCACUAAGUGUGUAUCCUCUAAGGGCUCUUGCCACUCUCGGUAAGUCAAGCACAAAUCCUCCUGGCAGACACACAGAAUGCCACCUAUGUCAAUAGUGGCAACAACUUCAGAUACAAACGACUGUACAGGUUAGAAUGUCAGAGGAAGUCACAGGAUAGGUGGCUAACUCUGCAUUUGAGUGGAACAGGAAGCACUAACAUUUGUACCAGGGGAGCCUAGAUUUCAGACAUAACAAUAGAAUGAAGUAGCUUUGGAAUUUAGGCUCCUACCCACAUGGCAGCUACAAUGAAAGAGUUGCCUCUGUAAUACUUCCCUAAUUAUCUUACAGCCCUUGUCAGUGACCUGAUGAGAUGUUUCCUGUCUUACAGAUGACCAACUAGAGCAAGAAUGUUAAAUGCUAGGGAGGAAUAGGAGGAUGUCCUGGGAUGAGAGAAGAGAUUACAACACAGAAACCCCCAGUCCACUUAGUGUCCUUUGUGUGCAUGACCAUGAGGGGAAGACAUGUGCUGCUUGGUCUCCAGGAUGAACUCAUCAUGCUGCUUCCUGGCAUGUACCCAACUGUGUUUGUCAUUGGAGGAGCUCGUGGCCUCCGUGUCGCUGAGGACCGCUGUGGUGCCUUUCAGGAUAGCCCUGGUCUUUGUUGUGAGUGUGACUUCUGGGCUCCAGCAUAGAAUCCUCAUCCCACUAGCACAGCUCCUUCAUCCUGCUGGCAUAGACUUUCUGGCUUCUAC